This 30-nucleotide non-coding RNA is filed under the name Cricetulus griseus (Chinese hamster). The record is from RNAcentral. Lineage: Eukaryota; Metazoa; Chordata; Mammalia; Rodentia; Cricetidae.
UCUGAUUCUUGAAACUCAUGUAAAAGCAGG